AUUGAACGCUGGCGGCAGGCCUAACACAUGCAAGUCGAACGAGUGGCGGACGGGUGAGUAAUGUCGGGGAAACUGCCCGAUGGAGGGGGAUAACUACUGGAAAAGGUCGCUAAUACCGCAUACCAUCGGAUGUGCCCAGAUGGGAUUUGCUAGUAGGUGGGGUAAACGCUCACCUAGGCGACGACCCCUAGCUGGUCUGAGAGGAUGACCCGACACACUGGAACUGAGACACGGUCCAGACUCCUACGGGAGGCAGCAGUGGGGAAUAUUGCACAAUGGGCGCAAGCCUGAUGCAGCCAUGCCGCGUGUAUGAAGAAGGCCUUCGGGUUGUAAAGUACUUUCAGCGGUGAGGCGUUACCCGCAGAAGAAGCACCGGCUAACUCCGUGACAGCAGCCGCGGUAAUAC
RNAcentral lists this ribosomal RNA (406 nucleotides) under uncultured bacterium. RNAcentral describes it as "partial 16S ribosomal RNA". It matches the Rfam family "Bacterial small subunit ribosomal RNA", at positions 30 to 526 of the family's 1533-position model. The record is from RNAcentral.